Molecule: long non-coding RNA, 2082 nt
Filed under: Gallus gallus (chicken)
Lineage: Eukaryota; Metazoa; Chordata; Aves; Galliformes; Phasianidae
Description: long non-coding RNA NONGGAT003134
Source: RNAcentral
CAACAACCAGACUUUUGUAUUUUGAAAAUCCAUCGUAUGAAGCUGUACUGAUAAUGGCAUGACUCUGUAUUCUAUUUCAGCGUUGGUAUUUCUUUCCUCCUUUGUCAUAGCCACGUAGUGUUCACACAUCCAAACAAAUGCCAUAUGCCAUAAUAAAAAGGUGGGAUUUUCUGUGUACGCCUGUUGGUAACUGUAGUACUGUGCAGUGUUUGUGUCCUCAUAGAGUCAUAGAAUGGGUUGGAAUGGACCUCAGGGAUGAUAGACUCCAACCCCACUGCUGCAGGCAGGGCUGAUAUGUGUCCUUAGCAGCCUCCCUUAAAACCAGGCUUAAAAGGGAGUAUUUUUAUAGGAACUCUGCUGACUUGAAGAGGGGAGAGGAGGGGAACCAGCUGUGCUUACAUCUGUGAAGAAAGAGGAGCGUUUAGGAGAAUAAGGAGUGAGCUGAAGGUGUCCUUUGCCGAGGCAGCAUUAGUACAAGCCCUCACAGAGAGCUGGAGCUACGGGAAGUCCUGCUGCCCUCCGUGCAGCACGUGCAAGGCAGGCUGAAUGAUGGUGCAGGAUUUUGCUUUCGCUGCUUGCAGAUUGUUAACAAACAAGCUGAGCUUCCUCUAAGGGGCUCUGCCAUAAGGUGGAUAAUUGCUUGUUUGUUUUGCUGCCAACCUCUUGCGUGAUAAUAACUGAAAAUUACAGCACAAACCUCUCCUGCAUGGAUCCACCGUGGCAUUGACUGAAAUAAUCCAAGUGACUUCACGAAGCAGUUCAGUCCCCCCCAUCUGGGGAGGCUCCUGAAGUGCAGGACGUGGCCGUGCUUUGCCAGCAGGGAGAAGCUGCUGUGUUGCACCUGUCUUUGCCUCUCACAUUCAAAGCAAGCAAACAAAAAUCCUGGCUCAGCCCAGCCUCAGCAUCACCAGCAGUCAUACCACCACCACCACCAUGCUGGGGGACCAGGCAUAAAGGUGGCUCCAUGGUGCUCUUUCCACCAUUGCAAUGGAAUGCGUAUCUCCCUGCAUGCUGCCCCGAUGGCUUUUUUGGGGUCUCCAUCUCAGCGCCCUGCAGGGAUGGGCCACCUGGUGCUGCUACGGAGCAGUGGCUUUGCUGGCUGAGGCUGCAGAGCCAGGUGCUGCGCCCAAAGGUGUGCGUGGUCUCCAGCUUCUGCAUCGCUUCUGCAUUGCUUCGGCAUCACUUCAUCAGAGCCCAGGCUGCUUCUCCCCUGCCAGACACCAAUGAGUUUAUUAAGGGAUUAAAAGUUAGCCUCCCCUCCUUACUGAAUGCUCUGAUUUAUGCAUGCGUUUAAAUCAAUCCCAUUUCCUGCAUUUUAUCCCUUCUCCCCCAGGCUUCCAGGCUCUGCUGGGUGAGACAUGCUAUAAUCACAUUGUUUUGAAGCAAGCGAGGCACCGUGGGUGGUUUAAGUGAUUUGAAUAAACGAGCUGCAUCACUUAGGCACCUCUCCCAGGUGCUAAUUACUACCCCUGCGCUGUAGGUGUCCACGCUUGGACAAGUAUGUGCUGCCUCCCAGUGAAAUAUUAAUGAGUACGCUGGCUAACGAAGAUGCUGGGAUGGAGAUGGGUCUGUCUGCCUGGGGGCUUUGGCUGGCAGCAGGGAUGCCCACUGGGCUGGGGUCUCAUAUCAGCCCUAGGCUGCCCUGGGUGGGUGACUUCCAGGUGCUGGUAGGUGGUUGCUGGAUGCACCGCAUAAGCAGCUUAUUUUGUCAUUUUAAUUUUUUAAUCCCAUGCAUUCAGUUGCGCGCUCUUAUUAGUAAGCAUUAGCUCUCCAAGUCCCAUUAGCUCCACUCAGAGCUCUGGCUUUGCUCGUGGGGACGCUGCUGGGGGAGCCAAUGGGGGCCUGGGGAUGGAUCCCGUGGUUGGUGAUGUCUGUGGGGUCCUACGUGGCUGCAAGGUGGAUCCUGGCCCUGCAGAACCCACAGGGCUCUGUGCAUUGCUGCACUCAUGGCCUCGACCCUCACCUCGAGCAGCCCCAGCGGGGCUCCCCUGGGCUUAUCCCCAUUUGGCACCUCACUGCUUUAAGAGAUAGAUGCAUAAAAUAUAUCCAAACCCACCUCGCCUUCCAUCAGGUCUUCCCUUU